Molecule: unclassified non-coding RNA, 331 nt
Filed under: soil metagenome
Description: partial contains 5.8S ribosomal RNA, internal transcribed spacer 2, and large subunit ribosomal RNA
Rfam family: 5.8S ribosomal RNA (bases 1-120)
Source: RNAcentral
GAUGAAGAACGCAGCAAAAUGCGAUAAGUAAUGUGAAUUGCAGAAUUCAGUGAAUCAUCGAAUCUUUGAACGCACAUUGCGCCUGCCAGUAUUCUGGCGGGCAUGCCUGUUCGAGCGUCAUUUCAACCCUCAAGCACAGCUUGGUGUUGGGACUCGCGUUAAUUCGCGUUCCUCAAAUUGAUUGGCGGUCACGUCGAGCUUCCAUAGCGUAGUAGUAAAACCCUCGUUACUGGUAAUCGUCGCGGCCACGCCGUUAAACCCCAACUUCUGAAUGUUGACCUCGGAUCAGGUAGGAAUACCCGCUGAACUUAAGCAUAUCAAUAACGGAGGA